GACGAACGCUGGCGGCGUGCCUAAUACAUGCAAGUCGAACGAGAGCACCCGGUGCUUGCACUGGUCAAUCUAGUGGCGAACGGGUGAGUAACACGUGGGUAACCUGCCCAUCAGAGGGGGAUAACAUCCGGAAACGGAUGCUAAAACCGCAUAGGUCUUCGAACCGCAUGGUUUGAAGAGGAAAAGAGGCGCAAGCUUCUGCUGAUGGAUGGACCCGCGGUGCAUUAGCUAGUUGGUGAGGUAACGGCUCACCAAGGCCGUGACGCAUAGCCGACCUGAGAGGGUGAUCGGCCACAUUGGGACUGAGACACGGCCCAAACUCCUACGGGAGGCAGCAGUAGGGAAUCUUCCGCAAUGGACGCAAGUCUGACGGAGCAACGCCGCGUGAGUGAAGAAGGUUUUCGGAUCGUAAAACUCUGUUGUUAGAGAAGAACAAGUGCUAGAGUAACUGUUAGCGCCUUGACGGUAUCUAACCAGAAAGCCACGGCUAACUACGUG
Molecule: ribosomal RNA, 498 nt
Filed under: uncultured bacterium
Lineage: Bacteria
Description: partial 16S ribosomal RNA
Rfam family: Bacterial small subunit ribosomal RNA
Source: RNAcentral